RNAcentral lists this ribosomal RNA (253 nucleotides) under uncultured bacterium. RNAcentral describes it as "partial 16S ribosomal RNA". It matches the Rfam family "Bacterial small subunit ribosomal RNA", at positions 524 to 776 of the family's 1533-position model. The record is from RNAcentral.
UACGGAGGGGGCUAGCGUUGUUCGGAAUUACUGGGCGUAAAGCGCACGUAGGCGGACAGGGAAGUCAGAGGUGAAAUCCCAGGGCUCAACCUUGGAACUGCCUUUGAAACUUUUUGUCUUGAGGUCGAGAGAGGUGAGUGGAAUUCCGGGUGUAGCGGUGGAAUGCGUAGAGAUCCGGAAGAACACCGGUGGCGAAGGCGGCCAUCUGGACCAGCACUGACACUGAGGCACGAAAGCGUGGGGAGCAAACAGG